GAUGAACGCUGGCGGCGUGCCUAAUACAUGCAAGUCGAGCGAACGGACGAGAAGCUUGCUUCUCUGAUGUUAGCGGCGGACGGGUGAGUAACACGUGGAUAACCUACCUAUAAGACUGGGAUAACUUCGGGAAACCGGAGCUAAUACCGGAUGAUAUUUUGAACCGCAUGGUUCAAAAGUGAAAGACGGUCUUGCUGUCACUUAUAGAUGGAUCCGCGCUGCAUUAGCUAGUUGGUAAGGUAACGGCUUAACAAGGCAACGAUGCAUAGCCGACCUGAGAGGGUGAUCGGCCACACUGGAACUGAGACACGGUCCAGACUCCUACGGGAGGCAGCAGUAGGGAAUCUUCCGCAAUGGGCGAAAGCCUGACGGAGCAACGCCGCGUGAGUGAUGAAGGUCUUCGGAUCGUAAAACUCUGUUAUUAGGGAAGAACAUAUGUGUAAGUAACUGUGCACAUCUUGACAGUACCUAAUCAGAAAGCCACGGCUAACUACGUG
This 497-nucleotide ribosomal RNA is filed under the name uncultured bacterium. RNAcentral's name for it is "partial 16S ribosomal RNA". It matches the Rfam family "Bacterial small subunit ribosomal RNA", at positions 28 to 507 of the family's 1533-position model. The record is from RNAcentral.